Molecule: small RNA, 606 nt
Filed under: uncultured fungus
Lineage: Eukaryota; Fungi
Description: eukaryotic LSU rRNA
Rfam family: 5.8S ribosomal RNA (bases 213-367)
Source: RNAcentral
GGAAGGAUCAUUACAGAAUUGUCAACGGGUUGUUGCUGGUCCUCGAACGGGGACAUGUGCACGCUCUGUUUACACAUCCACUCACACCUGUGCACCCUCCGUAGUUCUGUGGUCUGGGGGACCCCUGUCCUCCUGCCGUGGUUCUAUGUCUUUACACACACACUGUAAUAAAGUAUUAUGGAAUGCAUGCCGCGUCUAACGCAAUACAAUACAACUUUCAGCAACGGAUCUCUUGGCUCUCGCAUCGAUGAAGAACGCAGCGAAAUGCGAUAAGUAAUGUGAAUUGCAGAAUUCAGUGAAUCAUCGAAUCUUUGAACGCACCUUGCGCCCCUUGGCUAUUCCGAGGGGCAUGCCUGUUUGAGUAUCAUGAACACCUCAACUCUCACGGUUCGCCGUGAUGAGCUUGGACUCUGGGGGUUUUGCUGGCCUGCGGUCGGCUCCCCUCAAAUGAAUCAGCCUCCCAGUGUUUGGUGGCAUCACGGGUGUGAUAAAUAUCUACGCUCGCAGUUGUCCGCCAGGUAACCUUUGGUGACAAAGGUUCGCUGGAGCUCACAGAUGUCUCUCCUCAGCGAGGACAGCUUUUUGAACGUUCGAUCUCAAAUCAGG